GUGGGGAAUCUUCCGCAAUGGACGAAAGUCUGACGGAGCAACGCCGCGUGAGUGAAGAAGGUUUUCGGAUCGUAAAGCUCUUUCGUUAGGGACGAACGUGCUCUUUGUGAAUAAUGAGGAGUAAUGACGGUACCUAAAUAAGAAGCCACGGCUAACUACGUGCCAGCAGCCGCGGUAAUACGUCGGUGGCAAGCGUUGUCCGGAAUUAUUGGGCGUAAAGCGCGCGCAGGCGGGAUAUCAAGUCUGUCUUAAAAGUGCGAGGCUCAACCUCGUGAGGGGACAGAAACUGGUAUUCUUGAGUGUCGGAGAGGAAAGUGGAAUUCCAAGUGUAGCGGUGAAAUGCGUAGAGAUUUGGAAGAACACCAGUGGCGAAGGCGACUUUCUGGACGAUGUCUGACGCUGAGGCGCGAAAGCUAGGGGGGCGAACGGGAUUAGAAACCCUUGUAGUCC
RNAcentral lists this ribosomal RNA (450 nucleotides) under uncultured bacterium. Its description in RNAcentral is "partial 16S ribosomal RNA". It matches the Rfam family "Bacterial small subunit ribosomal RNA", at positions 354 to 796 of the family's 1533-position model. The record is from RNAcentral.